This 500-nucleotide ribosomal RNA is filed under the name uncultured bacterium. RNAcentral's name for it is "partial 16S ribosomal RNA". It matches the Rfam family "Bacterial small subunit ribosomal RNA", at positions 30 to 523 of the family's 1533-position model. The record is from RNAcentral.
AUUGAACGCUGGCGGCAUGCCUUACACAUGCAAGUCGAACGGCAGCACGGGAGCAAUCCUGGUAGCGAGUGGCGAACGGGUGAGUAAAGUAUCGGAACGUGCCCAGUCGUGUGGGAUAACGUAGCGAAAGUUACGCUAAUACCGCAUACGAUCUAUGGAUGAAAGCGGGGGAUCGCAAGACCUCGCGCGAUUGGAGCGGCCGAUAUCAGAUUAGGUAGUUGGUGGGGUAAAGGCUCACCAAGCCGACGAUCUGUAGCUGGUCUGAGAGGACGACCAGCCACACUGGGACUGAGACACGGCCCAGACUCCUACGGGAGGCAGCAGUGGGGAAUUUUGGACAAUGGGCGCAAGCCUGAUCCAGCCAUGCCGCGUGCAGGAUGAGGGCCUUCGGGUUGUAAACUGCUUUUGUACGGAACGAAAAGGUUUGACUUAAUACGUUGGACUCAUGACGGUACCGUAAGAAUAAGCACCGGCUAACUACGUGCCAGCAGCCGCCGCAG